This 920-nucleotide ribosomal RNA is filed under the name uncultured Amphibacillus sp. Its description in RNAcentral is "bacterial SSU rRNA". It matches the Rfam family "Bacterial small subunit ribosomal RNA", at positions 28 to 912 of the family's 1533-position model. Lineage: Bacteria; Bacillati; Bacillota; Bacilli; Caryophanales; Bacillaceae. The record is from RNAcentral.
GAUGAACGCUGGCGGCGUGCCUAAUACAUGCAAGUCGAGCGCGUGAAACUAAACAGAACUCUUCGGAGUGACGUAUAGCGGAUCGAGCGGCGGAUGGGUGAGUAACACGUGGGCAACCUGCCUAUAAGACUGGGAUAACUUACGGAAACGUGAGCUAAUACCGGAUGAAACCUCUUAUCACCUGGUAAGAGGAUGAAAGAUGGCUUUUAGCUAUCACUUAUAGAUGGGCCCGCGGCGCAUUAGCUAGUUGGUGAGAUAAAAGCUCACCAAGGCAACGAUGCGUAGCCGACCUGAGAGGGUGAUCGGCCACACUGGGACUGAGACACGGCCCAGACUCCUACGGGAGGCAGCAGUAGGGAAUCUUCCGCAAUGGACGAAAGUCUGACGGAGCAACGCCGCGUGAACGAAGAAGGUUCUCGGAUCGUAAAGUUCUGUUGUUAGGGAAGAACACGUACCAUUCGAAUAGGGUGGUACCUUGACGGUACCUAACGAGAAAGCCCCGGCUAACUACGUGCCAGCAGCCGCGGUAAUACGUAGGGGGCAAGCGUUGUCCGGAAUUAUUGGGCGUAAAGCGCUCGCAGGCGGUUUUUUAAGUCUGAUGUGAAAUCUUGCGGCUCAACCGCAAGCGGUCAUUGGAAACUGGAGAACUUGAGGACAGAAGAGGAGAGUGGAAUUCCACGUGUAGCGGUGAAAUGCGUAGAGAUGUGGAGGAACACCAGUGGCGAAGGCGACUCUCUGGUCUGUAACUGACGCUGAGGAGCGAAAGCGUGGGUAGCGAACAGGAUUAGAUACCCUGGUAGUCCACGCCGUAAACGAUGAGUGCUAGGUGUUAGGGGGUUUCCGCCCCUUAGUGCUGGCGUUAACGCAUUAAGCACUCCGCCUGGGGAGUACGGCCGCAAGGCUGAAACUCAAAAGAAUUG